AGGAUGAACGCUAGCGAUAGGCCUAACACAUGCAAGUCGAGGGGCAGCAUUGAUUGCUUGCAAUCAGAUGGCGACCGGCGGAUGGGUGAGUAACGCGUAUGCAACCUACCGAUAACAGUUGGAUAGCUCUCUGAAAGGGGAAUUAAACCGGCAUAAUACUAAGAGAUCGCCUGUUUUUUUAGUUAAAUAUUUAUAGGUUAUCGAUGGGCAUGCGUGACAUUAGCUAGUUGGUGAGGUAACUGCUCACCAAGGCUUCGAUGUCUAGGGGUUCUGAGAGGAAGGUCCCCCACACUGGUACUGAGACACGGACCAGACUCCUACGGGAGGCAGCAGUGAGGAAUAUUGGUCAAUGGACGGAAGUCUGAACCAGCCACUUCGCGUGCAGGAAGACUGCCCUAUGGGUUGUAAACUGCUUUUAUAUGAGAGGAAAUUUAUCUACGUGUAGAUAUUUGCCAGUAUUAUAUGAAUAAGGAUCGGCUAACUCCGUGCCAGCAGCCGCGGUAAUACGGAGGAUCCGAGCGUUAUCCGGAUUUAUUGGGU
RNAcentral lists this ribosomal RNA (540 nucleotides) under uncultured bacterium. RNAcentral describes it as "bacterial SSU rRNA". It matches the Rfam family "Bacterial small subunit ribosomal RNA", at positions 26 to 559 of the family's 1533-position model. The record is from RNAcentral.